GAUGAACGCUGGCGGCGUGCCUAAUACAUGCAAGUCGAGCGAACGGACGAGAAGCUUGCUUCUCUGAUGUUAGCGGCGGACGGGUGAGUAACACGUGGAUAACCUACCUAUAAGACUGGGAUAACUUCGGGAAACCGGAGCUAAUACCGGAUGAUAUUUUGAACCGCAUGGUUCAAAAGUGAAAGACGGUCUUGCUGUCACUUAUAGAUGGAUCCGCGCUGCAUUAGCUAGUUGGUAAGGUAACGGCUUACCAAGGCAACGAUGCAUAGCCGACCUGAGAGGGUGACCGGCCACACUGGGACUGAGACACGGUCCAGACUCCUACGGGAGGCAGCAGUAGGGAAUCUUCCGCAAUGGGCGAAAGCCUGACGGAGCAACGCCGCGUGAGUGAUGAAGGUCUUCGGAUCGUAAAACUCUGUUAUUAGGGAAGAACAUAUGUGUAAGUAACUGUGCACAUCUUGACGGUACCUAAUCAGAAAGCCACGGCUAACUACGUG
This 497-nucleotide ribosomal RNA is filed under the name uncultured bacterium. RNAcentral's name for it is "partial 16S ribosomal RNA". It matches the Rfam family "Bacterial small subunit ribosomal RNA", at positions 28 to 507 of the family's 1533-position model. The record is from RNAcentral.